UCAGAACGAACGCUGGCGGCAGGCUUAACACAUGCAAGUCGAGCGCCCCGCAAGGGGAGCGGCAGACGGGUGAGUAACGCGUGGGAACGUACCCUUUACUACGGAAUAACGCAGGGAAACUUGUGCUAAUACCGUAUGUGCCCUUCGGGGGAAAGAUUUAUCGGUAAGGGAUCGGCCCGCGUUGGAUUAGCUAGUUGGUGGGGUAAAGGCCUACCAAGGCGACGAUCCAUAGCUGGUCUGAGAGGAUGAUCAGCCACAUUGGGACUGAGACACGGCCCAAACUCCUACGGGAGGCAGCAGUGGGGAAUAUUGGACAAUGGGCGCAAGCCUGAUCCAGCCAUGCCGCGUGAGUGAUGAAGGCCCUAGGGUUGUAAAGCUCUUUCACCGGAGAAGAUAAUGACGGUUCCGAG
This 410-nucleotide ribosomal RNA is filed under the name soil bacterium 7V-03. RNAcentral describes it as "bacterial SSU rRNA". It matches the Rfam family "Bacterial small subunit ribosomal RNA", at positions 24 to 464 of the family's 1533-position model. The record is from RNAcentral.